Molecule: ribosomal RNA, 451 nt
Filed under: uncultured bacterium
Lineage: Bacteria
Description: partial 16S ribosomal RNA
Rfam family: Bacterial small subunit ribosomal RNA
Source: RNAcentral
GGCUAACGCUGGCGGCGCGCCUAACACAUGCAAGUCGAACGAACCCUUCGGGGUUAUUGGCAGACGGGGGAGUAACGCGUGGAUAAUGUGCCUUUUUGCUGGGGAUACCGUUCCGAAAGGAACGCUAAUACCGAAUGUGCUCGUUUGGCGGCAUCCCCUAGCGCGGCAACUGUUAGUGUGAAGAGAGCAGUCCGCGAUCUAUCAUCUAGUUGGUGGGGUCACGGCAAACCAAGGCUACGACAGAUAACUGGUCUGAGAGGAUGAUCAGUCACACUGGAACUGAGACACCGUCCAGACUCCUACGGGAGGCAGCAGUGAGGAAUCUUGCACAAUGGGCGAAAGCCUGAUGCAGCGACGCAGCGUGAGGGACGAAGGCCUGCGGGUUGUAAACCUCUGUCAGUAGGGGAGAAGAAUGACGGUACCUACUGAGGAAGCGUCGGCUAACUACGUG